GAUGAAGAACGUAGCGAAAUGCGAUAAGUAAUGCGAAUUGCAGAAUUUUAGUGAGUCAUCGAAUCUUUGAACGCACAUUGCGCCCUUUGGCAUUCCGAAGGGCAUGCCUGUUCGAGCGUCAUUUCAACCAUCAAGCCCCAGGCUUGUGUUGGAGCCCUGCGGCUGCCGCAGCCUCCCAAAACCAGUGGCGGGCUCGCUAUCACACCGAGUGCAGUAGUUUACUCUUCGCUCAGGGCGUGUGGCGGGUGCUAGCCGUAAAACCCCCAACUUCUCAAGGUUGACCUCGGAUCAGGUAGGAAUACCCGCUGAACUUAAGCAUAUCAAUAAGCGGAGGA
Molecule: unclassified non-coding RNA, 335 nt
Filed under: soil metagenome
Description: partial contains 5.8S ribosomal RNA, internal transcribed spacer 2, and large subunit ribosomal RNA
Rfam family: 5.8S ribosomal RNA (bases 1-121)
Source: RNAcentral